GACGAACGCUGGCGGCGUGCUUAACACAUGCAAGUCGAACGGAAAGGCCCUGCUUUUGUGGGGUGCUCGAGUGGCGAACGGGUGAGUAACACGUGAGUAACCUGCCCUUGACUUUGGGAUAACUUCAGGAAACUGGGGCUAAUACCGGAUAGGAGCUCCUGCUGCAUGGGGGGGGUUGGAGAGUUUCGGCGGUUGGGGAUGGUCUCGCGGCUUAUCAGCUUGUUGGUGGGGUAGUGGUUUACCAAGGGUUUGACGGGUAGCCGGCCUGGGAGGGUGACCGGCCACAUUGGGACUGAGAUACGGCCCAGACUCCUACGGGAGGCAGCAGUGGGGAAUAUGGCACAAUGGGCGGAAGCCUGAGGCAGCAGCGCCGCGUGCGGGAUGACGGCCUUCGGGUUGUAAACCGCUUUCGCCUGUGACGAAGCGUGAGUGACGGUAAUGGGUAAAGAAGCACCGGCUAACUACGUG
RNAcentral lists this ribosomal RNA (468 nucleotides) under uncultured bacterium. Its description in RNAcentral is "partial 16S ribosomal RNA". It matches the Rfam family "Bacterial small subunit ribosomal RNA", at positions 28 to 507 of the family's 1533-position model. The record is from RNAcentral.